AGCUGGAAAGCUAACUACAAAGCCUCUAAAAGUUACGUAACAUGGAAGAAACACACUCGAUUCUGCCUCUCCCAUUGAAUAGAGCAAUAAAACAUGGACACAACACACGAAGCAGCUAUUUGAGGACUCUGAGAAGGAAAUGGCAGCACACAGAUUGGGGGAGAAGACCAGAAUUUGAAACGCUGCCGAACCACAGUAGAGUGAUACAAGAUGUGACCGUUGAAGAAUGCUGGGUGAAAGGUGACUCCCUUCAUGGAACCCGUAUGGAAUCUGUGUAUAUAUUUUGGGUAAUUUCCUAUGACUCAGUAGUUAUUUCAAAAUAAAAAUGUUUAAAAAGU
Gorilla gorilla gorilla (western lowland gorilla) is the source of this 338-nucleotide long non-coding RNA. RefSeq lists it as uncharacterized. The record is from RefSeq and is a predicted model, not a curated record. The transcript is spliced from 3 exons. NCBI's taxonomy places the organism in Eukaryota, Metazoa, Chordata, Mammalia, Primates, Hominidae.